This 358-nucleotide ribosomal RNA is filed under the name uncultured bacterium. RNAcentral describes it as "bacterial SSU rRNA". It matches the Rfam family "Bacterial small subunit ribosomal RNA", at positions 29 to 416 of the family's 1533-position model. The record is from RNAcentral.
AACGAACGCUGGCGGCAGGCCUAACACAUGCAAGUCGAACGCCCUAGCAAUAGGGAGUGGCAGACGGGUGAGUAACACGUGGGAACCUUCCCUAUAGUACGGAAUAUACCAGGGAAACUUGGAGCAAUACCGUAUACGCCCGAAAGGGGAAGAUUUAUCGCUAUAGGAUGGGCCCGCGUAGGAUUAGCUAGUUGGUGAGGUAACGGCUCACCAAGGCGACGAUCCUUAGCUGGUUUGAGAGAACGACCAGCCACACUGGACUGAGACACGGCCCAGACUCCUACGGGAGGCAGCAGUGGGGAAUAUUGGACAAUGGGCGCAAGCCUGAUCCAGCCAUGCCGCGUGAGUGAUGAAGGCC